CCUACGGGAGGCAGCAGUGGGGAAUAUUGCGCAAUGGGCGAAAGCCUGACGCAGCGACGCCGCGUGAGGGAUGAAGGUCUUCGGAGCGUAAACCUCUGUCAGCAGGGAAGAACGGUCACUGUGCUAAUCAGCAGUGAAUUGACGGUACCUGCAAAGGAAGCACCGGCGAACUCCGUGCCAGCAGCCGCGGUAAUACGGGGGGUGGGAGCGUUAAGCGGAAUUGCUGGGCGUAAAGCGCUCGUAGGCGGUAUGGCAAGUCAAGGGGGAAAUCCCCGCGCUCAACGUGGGAACUGCCGUUGAAACUGGCAAACUUGAGUGUGUGAGAGGAUAGUGGAAUUCCAGGUGUAGGAGUGAAAUCCGUAGAUAUCUGGAGGAACAUCAGUGGCGAAGGCGACUAUCUGGCACAUAACUGACGCUGAGGAGCGAAAGCGUGGGUAGCAAACAGGAUUAGAUACCCGAGUAGUC
This 465-nucleotide ribosomal RNA is filed under the name uncultured bacterium. Its description in RNAcentral is "partial 16S ribosomal RNA". It matches the Rfam family "Bacterial small subunit ribosomal RNA", at positions 338 to 795 of the family's 1533-position model. The record is from RNAcentral.